UGGGGAAUUUUGGACAAUGGGGGAAACCCUGAUCCAGCCAUCCCGCGUGUUCGAUGAAGGCCUUCGGGUUGUAAAGCACUUUUGUCAGGAAAGAAACGUCAUGGGUUAAUACCCCGCGAAACCGACGGUACCUGCAGAAUAAGCACCGGCUAACUACGAGCCAGCAGCCGCGUUAUUACGCAGGGUGCAAGCGUUAAUCGGAAUUACUGGGCGUAAAGCGUGCGCAGGCGGUUCGGAAAGAAAGAUGUGAAAUCCCAGAGCUCAACUUUGGAACUGCGUUUUUAACUGCCGGGCUAUCGUGUGUCAGAGGGAGGUGGAAUUCCGCGUGUAGCAGUGAAAUGCGAAGAUAUGCGGAAGAACACCGAUGGCGAAGGCAGCCUCCUGGGAUAACACUGACGCUCAUGCACGAAAGCGUGGGGAGCAAACAGG
RNAcentral lists this ribosomal RNA (429 nucleotides) under Acidobacteriota bacterium. RNAcentral describes it as "Acidobacteria bacterium partial 16S ribosomal RNA". It matches the Rfam family "Bacterial small subunit ribosomal RNA", at positions 355 to 776 of the family's 1533-position model. The record is from RNAcentral. Lineage: Bacteria; Pseudomonadati; Acidobacteriota.